Molecule: long non-coding RNA, 839 nt
Organism: Cryptomeria japonica (Japanese cedar)
Lineage: Eukaryota; Viridiplantae; Streptophyta; Pinopsida; Cupressales; Cupressaceae
Exons: 3
Source: RefSeq, a predicted model, not a curated record
AACCAGAAUUCCAGACGAAGUUCUCAGGUUGAAGAGUGAGCGGGGUGAAGAUGGGGAAGCCGUUGAGAGAACGUUCUAGUUAUCUGAAACUAAAAUGUAACGUUCGAAAGAAAAAUCGAACGUUGUUGCGAAAAGCUGAAAAAAAGCCGGGAAAAAGCAUAUCGAACGUUAUUAUGGAGAGCUGGAGAAAGCAUAAAUAGUUCCAUCUCUUUCAUUUAGAGAGAGUGUUCUUCCUCUUUGUUUUGUUCUGUUUCUUAGUUCUCUGGCUCUUUAUAUUUUCUUUCAAUGUCUUUUAUUGGAGGUUUUUGUUUGUUUUGUUUUAGAUUUUCAGUUUGUUUGGUAAGGGUUUUGUGCUGUGAUUUGUUUUCUUUUUUUCUGUAGUUUUCCUGUUUUACAUAGGAAGAUGUGGAACAGAGGAAGGGAAAAGCAAAAGGAAGAGGCAGAGCAAAAGGAAGCACAAUUUCUUGUUCUAGGAAUACAUGGCUGGCAGGAAGCAUGAGAAAGCGAGGAAGGAUGGAGGAGUUGUGCUACUUUGUCCUUCCUCCCUCCUCCUCAGUAGUCAAGAGAGGAGGUACAACAGAGGUUGAUAAUCUCACAGGGACCUGCCCAUUCUGGGUUGAAUGACAUGCCCUGUGCAACUACAUUAAGGGACGAUGGAUCUUUAUGCCCUGGAGCCAAUGCCAAUUCGACUAGGAAAUUUGAGGUGAUACAUGAUAUUUAAAUUGAAGAAGUUGUUGCAAUUGUUAAAACUGAUGCAAAUGUAAUUUAUAAAUUGAGUUAGUUUACUGGAUAAUGCAAUAUUUAAUAUCUAAAAUUGAAGAAGUUGUUGCAUUUUUAAA